Molecule: ribosomal RNA, 467 nt
Filed under: uncultured bacterium
Lineage: Bacteria
Description: partial 16S ribosomal RNA
Rfam family: Bacterial small subunit ribosomal RNA
Source: RNAcentral
GACGAACGCUGGCGGCGUGCUUAACACAUGCAAGUCGAACGGAAAGGCCUCUUUCGGGGGGUACUCGAGUGGCGAACGGGUGAGUGACACGUGAGUAAACUGCCCUUGACUUUGGGAUAAAUUCAGGAAACAGGGGCGAAUACCGGAUAGGAGAUCCUGCUGCAUGGUGGGGGUUGGAGAGAUUCGGCGGGUGGGGGUGGGCUCGCGGCGUAUCAGCUUGUUGGUGGGGUGGUGGCUUACCAAGGGUUUGACGGGUAGGCGGCCUGUGAGGGUGACCGGCCACAUUGGGACUGAGGGACGGCCCAGACUCCUACGGGAGGCAGCAGUGGGGAAUAUUGCACAAUGGGUGGAAGCCUGAUGCAGCAACGCCGUGUGCGGGAUGACGGCCUUCGGGUUGUAAACCGCUUUCGCUCAUGACGAAGCUUUGUGUGACGGUAGUGGGUAAAGAAGCACCGGCUAACUACGUG